CAUGUGUCUUAGCUUGCUAAGGCCGAUGGCGACCGGCGCACGGGUGAGUAACACGUAUCCAACUUGCCGUCUACUCUUGGACAGCCUUCUGAAAGGAAGAUACUACAAGAUGGCAUCAUGAGUCCGCAUGUUCACAUGAUUAAAGGUAUUCCGGUAGACGAUGGGGAUGCGUUCCAUUAGAUAGUAGGCGGGGUAACGGCCCACCUAGUCUUCGAUGGAUAGGGGUUCUGAGAGGAAGGUCCCCCACAUUGGAACUGAGACACGGUCCAAACUCCUACGGGAGGCAGCAGUGAGGAAUAUUGGUCAAUGGGCGAGAGCCUGAACCAGCCAAGUAGCGUGAAGGAUGACUGCCCUAUGGGUUGUAAACUUCUUUUAUAAAGGAAUAAAGUCGGGUAUGUAUACCCGUUUGCAUGUACUUUAUGAAUAAGGAUCGGCUAACUCCGUGCCAGCAGCCGCGGUAAUACGGAGGAUCCGAGCGUUAUCCGGAUUUAUUGGGUUUAAAGGGAGCGUAGAUGGAUGUUUAAGUCAGUUGUGAAAGUUUGCGGCUCAACCGUAAAAUUGCAGUUGAUACUGGAUAUCUUGAGUGCAGUUGAGGCAGGCGGAAUUCGUGGUGUAGCGGUGAAAUGCUUAGAUAUCACGAAGAACUCCGAUUG
This 653-nucleotide ribosomal RNA is filed under the name uncultured Bacteroides sp. Its description in RNAcentral is "bacterial SSU rRNA". It matches the Rfam family "Bacterial small subunit ribosomal RNA", at positions 64 to 715 of the family's 1533-position model. Lineage: Bacteria; Pseudomonadati; Bacteroidota; Bacteroidia; Bacteroidales; Bacteroidaceae. The record is from RNAcentral.